UACGAAGGGGGCUAGCGUUGCUCGGAAUCACUGGGCGUAAAGGGUGCGUAGGCGGGUCUUUAAGUCAGGGGUGAAAUCCUGGAGCUCAACUCCAGAACUGCCUUUGAUACUGAAGAUCUUGAGUUCGGGAGAGGUGAGUGGAACUGCGAGUGUAGAGGUGAAAUGCGCAGAUAUCAGGAAGAACACCCGUGGCGAAGGCGGCUCUCUGGGACGGUACUGACGCUGAGACGCGAAAGCGUGGGGAGCGAACAGG
This 253-nucleotide ribosomal RNA is filed under the name uncultured bacterium. RNAcentral's name for it is "partial 16S ribosomal RNA". It matches the Rfam family "Bacterial small subunit ribosomal RNA", at positions 524 to 776 of the family's 1533-position model. The record is from RNAcentral.